RNAcentral lists this unclassified non-coding RNA (282 nucleotides) under Hevea brasiliensis (rubber tree). Lineage: Eukaryota; Viridiplantae; Streptophyta; Magnoliopsida; Malpighiales; Euphorbiaceae. The record is from RNAcentral.
CCCUGCACGAUCGUCCUUCCAACCGCUCUCUACUUUCUCUCUCCUCGCCGAGCAGUCUUCCAACUCACCCGCUCCGCCCCCUCCACUCAUCAUUUAAUGAAGUCCAUACAAAAGCCAUGAUUCUUACCAACUUUCUGCAGUGGCUGACCAUGGCGGUUUCAGCUUUUUCUGCAGCUCCCUCGCCUCCCCCGCCAUAGCUUUCUGGGUUUUUGUCCUUUCCUCCGAAACCGCCUUCAAAAACCCAUCUUGACUCGGUUUCACCCCAUUCCAUGCAUGGACGGG